Molecule: long non-coding RNA, 265 nt
Filed under: Setaria italica (foxtail millet)
Lineage: Eukaryota; Viridiplantae; Streptophyta; Magnoliopsida; Poales; Poaceae
Description: long non-coding RNA (SITA_LNC007442)
Source: RNAcentral
UCUCCCACGCGCAGCCGCCUCACGCAGCGCAUCGUCGCAUUCUCCCGCUCGACCUGACGGCUGACGCAGCGCCUCCGCCUCUCGUCGGCCGUCGUCCGCUGGCCGCCGUCCGUGAGGCCGCCUCCUGCCAGCCGCCGUCCGCCUCCCGCGGCCACGGGCCGCGAGGCCGCCUCCCGCCGGCCGCAGGCUGCCUCCCGUCGGCCUCCGUCCGCCCGUGAUUACUCCCGUCGGCCUCCGGCGUAAGGAGCCCCAGCCCCUGUUCAGG